GAUGAACGCUGGCGGCGUGCCUAAUACAUGCAAGUCGAGCGAACGGACGAGAAGCUUGCUUCUCUGAUGUUAGCGGCGGACGGGUGAGUAACACGUGGAUAACCUACCUAUAAGACUGGGAUAACUUCGGGAAACCGGAGCUAAUACCGGAUAAUAUUUUGAACCGCAUGAUUCAAAAGUGAAAGACGGUCUUACUGUCACUUAUAGAUGGAUCCGCGCUGCAUUAGCUAGUUGGUAAGGUAACGGCUUACCAAGGCAACGAUGCAUAGCCGACCUGAGAGGGUGAUCGGCCACACUGGAACUGAGACACGGUCCAGACUCCUACGGGAGGCAGCAGUAGGGAAUCUUCCGCAAUGGGCGAAAGCCUGACGGAGCAACGCCGCGUGAGUGAUGAAGGUCUUCGGAUCGUAAAACUCUGUUAUUAGGGAAGAACAUAUGUGUAAGUAACUGUGCACAUCUUGACGGUACCUAAUCAGAAAGCCACGGCUAACUACGUG
This 497-nucleotide ribosomal RNA is filed under the name uncultured bacterium. Its description in RNAcentral is "partial 16S ribosomal RNA". It matches the Rfam family "Bacterial small subunit ribosomal RNA", at positions 28 to 507 of the family's 1533-position model. The record is from RNAcentral.